Molecule: ribosomal RNA, 621 nt
Filed under: uncultured Basidiomycota
Lineage: Eukaryota; Fungi; Basidiomycota
Description: LSU rRNA
Rfam family: Eukaryotic large subunit ribosomal RNA
Source: RNAcentral
CCUCAAAUCAGGUAGGACUACCGGCUGAACUUAAGCAUAUCAAUAAGCGGAGGAAAAGAAACUAACAAGGAUUCCCCUAGUAGCGGCGAGCGAAGCGGGAAGAGCUCAAAUUUGAAAGCUGGCGUCCUUCGGGCGUCCGCAUUGUAAUCUAUAGAGGCGUUUUCUGUGCCGGACCGUGUCCAAGUCCCUUGGAACAGGGUACCAAAGAGGGUGACAAUCCCGUACUUGACACGACAACCAGUGCUCUGUGAUACGUCUUCUACGAGUCGAGUUGUUUGGGAAUGCAGCUCAAAAUGGGUGGUGAAUUCCAUCUAAAGCUAAAUAUUGGCGAGAGACCGAUAGCGAACAAGUACCGUGAGGGAAAGAUGAGAAGCACUUUGGAAAGAGAGUUAAACAGUAUGUGAAAUUGUUGAAAGGGAAACGAUGGAGGUCAGUCGUGUCUGUGGGAUUCAGCCGUCUCUGGCGGUGUACUUCCCACAGACGGGUCAACAUCAGUUUUGGUCGGCGGAUAAAGGCAGGAGGAAGGUGGCACCCCCGGGUGUGUUAUAGCCUCUUGUUGCAUACGCUGGCCGAGACUGAGGAAUGCAGCUCGCCUUUAUGGCCGGGGUUCGCCCACGUUCG